This 497-nucleotide ribosomal RNA is filed under the name uncultured bacterium. Its description in RNAcentral is "partial 16S ribosomal RNA". It matches the Rfam family "Bacterial small subunit ribosomal RNA", at positions 28 to 507 of the family's 1533-position model. The record is from RNAcentral.
GAUGAACGCUGGCGGCGUGCCUAAUACAUGCAAGUCGAGCGAACGGACGAGAAGCUUGCUUCUCUGAUGUUAGCGGCGGACGGGUGAGUAACACGUGGAUAACCUACCUAUAAGACUGGGAUAACUUCGGGAAACCGGAGCUAAUACCGGAUAAUAUUUUGAACCGCAUGGUUCAAAAGUGAAAGACGGUCUUGCUGUCACUUAUAGAUGGAUCCGCGCUGCAUUAGCUAGUUGGUAAGGUAACGGCUUACCAAGGCAACGAUGCAUAGCCGACCUGAGAGGGUGAUCGGCCACACUGGAACUGAGACACGGUCCAGACUCCUACGGGAGGCAGCAGUAGGGAAUCUUCCGCAAUGGGCGAAAGCCUGACGGAGCAACGCCGUGUGAGUGAUGAAGGUCUUCGGAUCGUAAAACUCUGUUAUUAUGGAAGAACAUAUGUGUAAGUAACUGUGCACAUCUUGACGGUACCUAAUCAGAAAGCCACGGCUAACUACGUG